Molecule: ribosomal RNA, 112 nt
Filed under: uncultured eukaryote
Lineage: Eukaryota
Description: partial small subunit ribosomal RNA
Rfam family: Eukaryotic small subunit ribosomal RNA
Source: RNAcentral
UCGCUCCUACCGAUUGAAUGGUCCGGUGAAGCGUUCGGAUGAGCGCGGGGAGGCGGUCCGCCGCUUUUCCGUGCUCAGAAGUUCGUUAAACCUUAUCAUUUAGAGGAAGGAG